UGAAAUAAAUAACUAUUGGUUAAAAUCAGUGGUUGUUUAGUCUGGCUGACAGUUGUAAAAAAUAAAACUGUCAGCCAACGUCA
RNAcentral lists this small RNA (83 nucleotides) under Nitrosomonas eutropha C91. Its description in RNAcentral is "Proteobacteria sRNA psRNA14". It matches the Rfam family "Proteobacteria sRNA psRNA14". Lineage: Bacteria; Pseudomonadati; Pseudomonadota; Betaproteobacteria; Nitrosomonadales; Nitrosomonadaceae. The record is from Rfam by way of RNAcentral.